AGAGUUUGAUCCUGGCUCAGAUUGAACGCUGGCGGCAUGCUUUACACAUGCAAGUCGAACGGUAACAGGGAGCUUGCUCCGCUGACGAGUGGCGAACGGGUGAGUAAUAUAUCGGAACGUACCCAAGAGUGGGGGAUAACGUAGCGAAAGUUACGCUAAUACCGCAUACGAUCCAAGGAUGAAAGCAGGGGACCGCAAGGCCUUGUGCUCCUGGAGCGGCCGAUAUCUGAUUAGCUAGUUGGUAGGGUAAAGGCCUACCAAGGCAUCGAUCAGUAGCUGGUCUGAGAGGACGACCAGCCACACUGGAACUGAGACACGGUCCAGACUCCUACGGGAGGCAGCAGUGGGGAAUUUUGGACAAUGGGCGCAAGCCUGAUCCAGCAAUGCCGCGUGAGUGAAGAAGGCCUUCGGGUUGUAAAGCUCUUUUGUCAGGGAAGAAACGGGUGAGGCUAAUAUCCUCAUCUAAUGACGGUACCUGAAGAAUAAGCACCGGCUAACUACGUGCCAGCAGCCGCGGUAAUACGUAGGGUGCAAGCGUUAAUCGGAAUUACUGGGCGUAAAGCGUGCGCAGGCGGUUUUGUAAGUCUGUCGUGAAAUCCCCGGGCUCAACCUGGGAAUGGCGAUGGAGACUGCAAGGCUAGAGUCUGGCAGAGGGGGGUAGAAUUCCACGUGUAGCAGUGAAAUGCGUAGGGAUGUGGAGGAACACCGAUGGCGAAGGCAGCCCCCUGGGUCAAGAUUGACGCUCAUGCACGAAAGCGUGGGGAGCAAACAGGAUUAGAUACCCUGGUAGUCCACGCCCUAAACGAUGUCUACUAGUUGUCGGGUCUUAAUUGACUUGGUAACGCAGCUAACGCGUGAAGUAGACCGCCUGGGGAGUACGGUCGCAAGAUUAAAACUCAAAGGAAUUGACGG
Molecule: ribosomal RNA, 912 nt
Filed under: uncultured bacterium
Lineage: Bacteria
Description: bacterial SSU rRNA
Rfam family: Bacterial small subunit ribosomal RNA
Source: RNAcentral